Molecule: transfer RNA, 74 nt
Filed under: Flavobacterium sp.
Lineage: Bacteria; Pseudomonadati; Bacteroidota; Flavobacteriia; Flavobacteriales; Flavobacteriaceae
Also listed under: 1 other name
Description: tRNA-Arg
Rfam family: tRNA
About the family: Transfer RNA (tRNA) molecules are approximately 80 nucleotides in length. Their secondary structure includes four short double-helical elements and three loops (D, anti-codon, and T loops).
Source: RNAcentral
GGCUCCGUAGUUCAACUGGAUAGAAUGUCAGAUUUCGGCUCUGAUGGUUGCAGGUUCGAACCCUGCCGGGGUCA